RNAcentral lists this non-coding RNA (194 nucleotides) under Bacillota bacterium. Its description in RNAcentral is "6S RNA". It matches the Rfam family "6S / SsrS RNA". Rfam says of the family: E. coli 6S RNA was the first non coding RNA to be sequenced, but its function was unknown until recently. It consists of 184 nucleotides that fold into an extended hairpin structure with a large single-stranded internal bulge. Lineage: Bacteria; Bacillati; Bacillota. The record is from RNAcentral.
AACAAGCUGCAUUGUGCGUAUGAAUAUUAAGUUUAAACCUUUAAGCUGUAACAGGGAGUUUGAACUGGGGACAGGAAUGACAUGCCUCAUUCUCUUCGGACAAUGAGGACACGCAGGAGCGUUUCCGAAAACACCCACUUUGAGAAGUGGUGGUUUUAAACUUUCUUACGAAAUACGGCAAACGCGGCUUUCUA